RNAcentral lists this ribosomal RNA (1294 nucleotides) under Templar sp. MCZ IZ 149444. Its description in RNAcentral is "partial large subunit ribosomal RNA". It matches the Rfam family "Eukaryotic large subunit ribosomal RNA", at positions 660 to 1862 of the family's 3401-position model. Lineage: Eukaryota; Metazoa; Arthropoda; Arachnida; Opiliones; Neopilionidae. The record is from RNAcentral.
CACGGACCAAGGAGUCUAACAUGUGCGCGAGUCAUUGGGUCUUGAUUAGGCCCAAAGGCGUAAUGAAAGUGAAGGGCGGUUCGGCCGUCUGCCUUGGGAUCCCGUGGACCUCGCGUUCGCGGGCGCACCAAGGGCCCGUCCCGGUCGCCUCGUCGACGGGGCGGAGCAAGAGCGUACACGUUGGGACCCGAAAGAUGGUGAACUAUGCCUGGGCAGGACGAAGCCAGAGGAAACUCUGGUGGAGGUCCGCAGCGAUUCUGACGUGCAAAUCGAUCGUCAGACCUGGGUAGGGGCGAAAGACUAAUCGAACCAUCUAGUAGCUGGUUCCCUCCGAAGUUUCCCUCAGGAUAGCUGGCGCUCGGAGGAUGCAGUCUCAUCCGGUAAAGCGAAUGAUUAGAGGCCUUGGGGUCGAAAAGACCUCAACCUAUUCUCAAACUUUAAAUGGGUGAGAAGUCCGGUUUGCUCGACUGAAGCCCGGACGGCAACUUGGAUGCGAGUGCCAAGUGGGCCACUUUUGGUAAGCAGAACUGGCGCUGUGGGAUGAACCAAACGCCGGGUUAAGGGGCCCGAUGCGAGACGCUCAUGAGAUCCCAUGAAAGGUGUUGGUUGCUAUAGACAGCAGGACGGUGGCCAUGGAAGUCGGAAUCCGCUAAGGAGUGUGUAACAACUCACCUGCCGAAGCAACUAGCCCUGAAAAUGGAUGGCGCUUCAGCGUCGACCCCAUACCCGGCCGCCGCGGCCGAAAAGCCUCGUGUUUUAAGCCGCGGUGAGUAGGAGGGGCGCGGAGGCGAGCGUCGAAGGUGCCGGGCGUAAGCCCGCCUGGAGCCGCCUCCGGCGCAGAUCUUGGUGGUAGUAGCAAAUACUCAAGUGAGAACCUUGAGGACUGAGGUGGAGAAGGGUUCCAUGUGAACAGCAGUUGAACAUGGGUCAGUCGGUCCUAAGGGAUAGGAGAAAUCCGUUCCGAGGCGGGACCUCCUCAAUUAUUUUUGAAAGUCCCGCUGAUGACCGAAAGGGAAUCGGGUUAAUAUUCCCGAACCCGGAUGCGGAGAUCGUCCUCUUCGGAGGUACAUUGCGGUAACGCAAACGAGCUCGGAGACGUCGACGGGAGCACCGGGAAGAGUUAUCUUUUCUUUGUAAGGAUUCGACUCCCUGGAAUCGGCUCGCCCGGAGAUAGGGAUGGUGUUUCCGUAAAGCACCGCGCCUCUUGCGGUGUCCGGAUCGCUCCCGUCGGCCCUUGAAAAUCCGAGUGAGAGAUAGUGAUUUUCGUGCCGGACCGUACCCAUAUCCGCAGCAG